AUUGAACGCUGGCGGCAUGCCUUACACAUGCAAGUCGAACGGCAGCACGGGUGCUUGCACCUGGUGGCGAGUGGCGAACGGGUGAGUAAUACAUCGGAGCAUGUCCUGUAGUGGGGGAUAGCCCGGCGAAAGCCGGAUUAAUACCGCAUACGAUCUACGGAUGAAAGCGGGGGACCUUCGGGCCUCGCGCUAUAGGGUUGGCCGAUGGCUGAUUAGCUAGUUGGUGGGGUAAAGGCCUACCAAGGCGACGAUCAGUAGCUGGUCUGAGAGGACGACCAGCCACACUGGGACUGAGACACGGCCCAGACUCCUACGGGAGGCAGCAGUGGGGAAUUUUGGACAAUGGGCGAAAGCCUGAUCCAGCAAUGCCGCGUGUGUGAAGAAGGCCUUCGGGUUGUAAAGCACUUUUGUCCGGAAAGAAAUCCUUGGCCCUAAUACGGUCGGGGGAUGACGGUACCGGAAGAAUAAGCACCGGCUAACUACGUG
RNAcentral lists this ribosomal RNA (486 nucleotides) under uncultured bacterium. RNAcentral's name for it is "partial 16S ribosomal RNA". It matches the Rfam family "Bacterial small subunit ribosomal RNA", at positions 30 to 507 of the family's 1533-position model. The record is from RNAcentral.